This 187-nucleotide long non-coding RNA is filed under the name Parus major (Great Tit). RNAcentral's name for it is "lncRNA (ENSPMJG00000000605.1)". The record is from RNAcentral. Lineage: Eukaryota; Metazoa; Chordata; Aves; Passeriformes; Paridae.
GUUUGUGGGCACUUGGCUGAGUUAGGUGUCCAAUACAAAGCAGUGUGUCUCAUUGACAGUCAGGCUGCAUGAGCUUCUCUACCUUCAGUGCUGGAGGACUUGCCACAGAAGGUCUUCCCUAGAAUCCAGCAUCUUGAAAGGCACAAGUGUAAUGAUGAUUUUCUUGGAGAAGUGAGAAAGCUUGGAA